This 435-nucleotide ribosomal RNA is filed under the name uncultured bacterium. RNAcentral's name for it is "partial 16S ribosomal RNA". It matches the Rfam family "Bacterial small subunit ribosomal RNA", at positions 29 to 507 of the family's 1533-position model. The record is from RNAcentral.
AACGAACGCUGGCGGCAUGCCUAACACAUGCAAGUCGAACGAUUGCCUUCGGGUGAUAGUGGCGCACGGGUGCGUAACGCGUGGGAAUCUGCCCUUAGGUUCGGAAUAACAGCUGGAAACGGCUGCUAAUACCGGAUGAUAUCGCGAGAUCAAAGAUUUAUCGCCUGAGGAUGAGCCCGCGUUGGAUUAGGUAGUUGGUGGGGUAAAGGCCUACCAAGCCGACGAUCCAUAGCUGGUCUGAGAGGAUGAUCAGCCACACAGGGACUGAGACACGGCCCAGACUCCUACGGGAGGCAGCAGUGGGGAAUAUUGGACAAUGGGCGCAAGCCUGAUCCAGCAAUGCCGUGUGAGUGAUGAAGGCCCUAGGGUUGUAAAGCUCUUUUACCCGGGAAGAUAAUGACUGUACCGGGAGAAUAAGCCCCGGCUAACUCCGUG